RNAcentral lists this ribosomal RNA (619 nucleotides) under uncultured Alphaproteobacteria bacterium. RNAcentral describes it as "bacterial SSU rRNA". It matches the Rfam family "Bacterial small subunit ribosomal RNA", at positions 28 to 691 of the family's 1533-position model. Lineage: Bacteria; Pseudomonadati; Pseudomonadota; Alphaproteobacteria. The record is from RNAcentral.
AGCGAACGCUGGCGGCAGGCCUAACACAUGCAAGUCGAGCGCUCAUCUUCGGAUGGGAGCGGCGCACGGGUGAGUAACACGUGGGAACCUACCUUGAAGUAUGGAAUAACUGAGGGAAACUUCAGCUAAUACCGUAUACGCCCUACGGGGGAAAGAUUUAUCGCUUCAAGACGGGCCCGCGUUGGAUUAGCUGGUUGGUGAGGUAAUGGCUCACCAAGGCGACGAUCCAUAGCUGAUUUGAGGGAAUAAUCAGCCACACUGGGACUGAGACACGGCCCAGACUCCUACGGGAGGCAGCAGUGGGGAAUAUUGGACAAUGGGCGCAAGCCUGAUCCAGCCAUGCCGCGUGAGUGAUGAAGGCCUUCGGGUUGUAAAGCUCUUUCAGAUGGGACGAUGAUGACGGUACCAUCAGAAGAAGCCCCGGCUAACUUCGUGCCAGCAGCCGCGGUAAUACGAAGGGGGCUAGCGUUGUUCGGAAUUACUGGGCGUAAAGCGCGCGUAGGCGGCUUUGUCAGUCAGGGGUGAAAUCCCGGGGCUUAACCUCGGAACUGCCUUUGAUACUGCAAGGCUUGAGUCUGUGAGAGGAUGGUGGAAUACCCAGUGUAGAGGUGAAAUUCGU